GGGAGAAGGGGCACUUUCUGAAACAUAGAUAAGAUGCCUCUUGUUUGAUUGGUAUUUUAAAAAGAGAGAGAAUGAAAAAAAAUUUCAUAAAAAAUUAUUUUUUAUAUUUUAUAAGAAGUGAAAAUUCAUUGAGGGGAUGGAUUUUGGCACUUUCAAUGAAAUAAAAAGUAGUGCUACUUUGUUCUUUCUCAAGAUACCCCUUUAAAACAACGGCUAAGAUUUUACAAAAUAUCAAUGGAU
RNAcentral lists this long non-coding RNA (240 nucleotides) under Elaeis guineensis (African oil palm). Its description in RNAcentral is "long non-coding RNA (EGUI_LNC039170)". Lineage: Eukaryota; Viridiplantae; Streptophyta; Magnoliopsida; Arecales; Arecaceae. The record is from RNAcentral.